AUGGUGUCAAUCUCAUCGAUGAAUAUGAUGCAAGGGGAUUGCUUCUUUGCUUCACUGAAGAGCUCCCUCACUCUUUUAGGCCCAACACCCACCCACAUCUCCUCGAACUCGCUGCCGCUGCGUGCAAAGAAUGGGACGCCAGCUUCCUCGGCUACAGCUCUCGCCAACAUGGUUUUCCCUGUGCCCGGUGGGCCAGCAAGCAGAACACCCUUUGGAAGCUUGCCACCAAGGCUCGUGAAAUGCUGCAAAUUAAGCAUGCUAAGUAAACAAUUCGAUCAACAUCUAGUCUACAGAAACAAAAAGGAGAACUGA
Molecule: ribosomal RNA, 312 nt
Filed under: Triticum aestivum (bread wheat)
Lineage: Eukaryota; Viridiplantae; Streptophyta; Magnoliopsida; Poales; Poaceae
Description: partial small subunit ribosomal RNA
Source: RNAcentral